CCUACGGGAGGCAGCAGUAGGGAAUCUUCCACAAUGGGCGAAAGCCUGAUGGAGCAACGCCGCGUGAGUGAUGAAGGCCUUCGGGUUGUAAAACUCUGUCAUUCGGGACGAACCGGAGUCUGAGGAAAUGCAGACUCUCUGACGGUACCGGAGGAGGAAGCCCCGGCUAACUACGUGCCAGCAGCCGCGGUAAUACGUAGGGGGCAAGCGUUGUCCGGAUUCACUGGGCGUAAAGCGCGCGCAGGCGGUGAUGUAAGUCUGAGGUGAAAACCCGAAGCUCAACUUCGGGACUGCCUUGGAUACUGCGUCACUUGAGGAUAGGAGAGGCAAGGGGAAUUCCACGUGUAGCGGUGAAAUGCGUAGAGAUGUGGAGGAACACCGUGUGGCGAAGGCGCCUUGCUGGCCUAUUUCUGACGCUGAGGCGCGAAAGCGUGGGGAGCAAAACAGGUAUUAGACUACCCGUGGUAGUCCACGCUAGUAAACGAUGAGUGCUAGGUGUAGGUGGGUCGUCUACUACCACUCUGUGCCGACGACGUAACG
This 540-nucleotide ribosomal RNA is filed under the name uncultured bacterium. RNAcentral's name for it is "bacterial SSU rRNA". It matches the Rfam family "Bacterial small subunit ribosomal RNA", at positions 338 to 859 of the family's 1533-position model. The record is from RNAcentral.